RNAcentral lists this ribosomal RNA (494 nucleotides) under uncultured bacterium. RNAcentral's name for it is "partial 16S ribosomal RNA". It matches the Rfam family "Bacterial small subunit ribosomal RNA", at positions 28 to 507 of the family's 1533-position model. The record is from RNAcentral.
GACGAACGCUGGCGGCGUGCUUAACACAUGCAAGUCGAACGGAAAGGCCUGCUUUCCCUUGUGGAUUGCGGGUACUCGAGUGGCGAACGGGUGAGUAACACGUGAGUGAUCUGCCCCCAACUUGGGUAUAAGCCUGGGAAACUGGGUCUAAUUCCCGAUAGGACUGCAGGGUGGUGCCUGUGGUGGAAAACGAUUUUCUAGUGGUUGGGGAUGAGCUCGCGGCCUAUCAGCUUGUUGGUGGGGUAAUGACCUACCAAGGCGGCGACGGGUAGCCGGCCUGAGAGGGUGGACGGCCACAUUGGGACUGAGAUACGGCCCAGACUCCUGCGGGAGGCAGGAGUGGGGGAUAAUGCACAAUGGGCGGAAGCCUGAUGCAGCGACGCCGCGUGGGGGAUGACGGCCUUCGAGUUGUAAACUCCUUUCGACCGCGAGGAAGCCACCUGGUUGGAAGGGUGGUGACGGUAGUGGUAGAAGAAGCACCGGCUAACUACGUG